Molecule: ribosomal RNA, 718 nt
Filed under: uncultured bacterium
Lineage: Bacteria
Description: bacterial SSU rRNA
Rfam family: Bacterial small subunit ribosomal RNA
Source: RNAcentral
AGUCGAGGGGCAGCAUGAGGUAGCAAUACCUUGAUGGCGACCGGCGCACGGGUGAGUAACGCGUAUGCAACCUGCCCGAUACCGGGGUAUAGCCCAUGGAAACGUGGAUUAACACCCCAUAGUACUUUUAUCCUGCCUGGGAUGGGAGUUAAAUGUUCAAGGUAUCGGAUGGGCAUGCGUCCUAUUAGUUAGUUGGCGGGGUAACAGCCCACCAAGACGAUGAUAGGUAGGGGUUCUGAGAGGAAGGUCCCCCACAUUGGAACUGAGACACGGUCCAAACUCCUACGGGAGGCAGCAGUGAGGAAUAUUGGUCAAUGGACGAGAGUCUGAACCAGCCAAGUCGCGUGAGGGAAGACUGCCCUAUGGGUUGUAAACCUCUUUUAUAAGGGAAGAAUAAGUUCUACGUGUAGAAUGAUGCCUGUACCUUAUGAAUAAGCAUCGGCUAACUCCGUGCCAGCAGCCGCGGUAAUACGGAGGAUGCGAGCGUUAUCCGGAUUUAUUGGGUUUAAAGGGUGCGUAGGCGGUUUAUUAAGUUAGUGGUUAAAUAUUUGAGCUAAACUCAAUUGUGCCAUUAAUACUGGUAAACUGGAGUACAGACGAGGUAGGCGGAAUAAGUUAAGUAGCGGUGAAAUGCAUAGAUAUAACUUAGAACUCCGAUAGCGAAGGCAGCUUACCAGACUGUAACUGACGCUGAUGCACGAGAGCGUGGGUAGCGAAC